RNAcentral lists this ribosomal RNA (468 nucleotides) under uncultured bacterium. Its description in RNAcentral is "partial 16S ribosomal RNA". It matches the Rfam family "Bacterial small subunit ribosomal RNA", at positions 28 to 507 of the family's 1533-position model. The record is from RNAcentral.
GACGAACGCUGGCGGCGUGCUUAACACAUGCAAGUCGAACGGAAAGGCCCUGCUUUUGUGGGGUGCUCGUGUGGCGAACGGGUGAGUAACACGUGAGUAACCUGUCCCUGACUUUGGGAUAACUCCAGGAAAAUGGGGCUCAUACCGGAUAGGAGCUCCUGCUGCAUGGUGGGGGUUGGAAAGUUUCGGUGGUUGGGGGUGGACUGGAGGCGUAUCCGCUUGUUGAUGGGGUAGUGGCUUACCAAGGUUUCGAAGGGUAGCAGGCCUGAGCGGGUGACAGGCCACAUUGGGACUGAGAUGCGGCACAGACUCGUACGGGAGGGAGCAGGGGGGAAUAUUGCACGAGGAGCGGAGGGCUGAUGCUGCAACGCCGCGUGCGGGAAAACGGCCUUCGGAUGGUAGACCACUUUCGCCUGUGACGGAGCGUAAGUGACGGUAAUGGGUAAAGAAGCACCGGCUAACUACGUG